UGCAGGGGCCUGGGGGCGGGGCCUGAGCCAGCCUCUCCAGCCGCCGGUCCUUUGAGGACUCCACCGUCUGCUUCUUGGCCGUCAGUUUCAGUCUGCAGCGCCUUCCAGUCUUCAGCAUGCCUGGUCCGACCCCCAGUGGCACUAAUGUGGGCUCGUCGGGGCGCUCCCCCAGCAAAGCAGUGGCCGCGCGGGCGGCUGGAUCCACGGUCCGGCAGAGAAAAAACGCGAGCUGUGGAACAAGGAGCGCGGGGCGCACGACCUCAGCAGGCACGGGGGGCAUGUGGCGAUUCUACACGGAAGACUCCCCUGGGCUCAAGGUGUAAGUGUUGGGGAACAGACGUUGUGGAGUGUCACACAGCCGUGGGGCAGUGCGGUCGCUCCACCAGUGGCGUUUGCCCUGAUGAGAUGUACGGUACACGACAGCUUCAUUCGUGCCAGGUGGGCUUGGUUUGGUUUGUCUGUGUAUCAGCCUUUAGUUUCGAGCCUAGAAUAACAUCUCCAUGGAUUGAGGGAGAGCAAGGAAAAAAUCUUCAUGUAGCUGUGUCAGAAUAAAUGAUGGGAACAGAGAGAACUGGAGGGAAAACUGCUUAAUUAGAUGAACUUGCUCUUCAUUUGGUGUUCUUGUCCCACACUGAGAAAGAGGAGUAACCACUUGUGUUGGAGUUGGGUGAUUUUUCAAAGCUCUCUUGGAGGCACUAGCUGAUAUUAUGACAGCCUAAUGGGGGUGUCUGUAUUAGGCUGUGUUACCAAAAGUUCUUUGGCCCCCUUUGCCUUUGGUGGGUGGUGGGUGACUCUGGAGGGUGAACAUAACCACUGUCUAAGUUCUUCGGUCAGGGAGUGCUCAUUAAGUGAUGGGAAAUGGGCAUCCAGGGUCUCCAGGCCUUGCUCGCCUUACUUUCCAUGGUUUCUGGUACCGUGUGGCAGAGCUGGUCCCACAGGUCUCUUCGUGUGAGGCUCCAGAACACCCCUACUUACCCUGCUUAAACCCGGUGGCUAAGGAAUUGGAAUAAUGACGCACUCCCGUUCGCGGAGCACCUCUGUUCACAGAGGCAGUUACAUGUGGAAGGCAGCCAGCAGGGGCUGGAGCUGUGUCUUCUGACUGUUCAAUCCCAUGCUCUUUCCAUACUACUUGUCUGGUAGAAAGAGACAAAAUUAGAUUUAUUUGGAUUAAUUAAAUUAACUCGUAGCUUGACUUGGAUCGCAAAUGUAGUUGACGAAGGCUUCCCUAGAAUUCUUGAGAUUUGGUUUUAUCGAGUGAUUUUUUACUAUUCUCUUGAAGACUUGUUAAGGCAAGGAUGAGCUUAGGAAAUCAUUCCUGGCGUUGGGGUAUGUGAGUUGGCGGCAUGAAAAACGUUUUGGUCUUUGUUUCAAGGUAAUCUUUGUGAGUAUUUCAGAGAGAAAUUUUGAAGCCCCUUGCUCUUCAGGGUCUCCAGGGGCCUUACUUUAUACCCUUCUCAAGAAGGGGCUCAGACCUGUUCUCCUGCGGGUGUCUGGCCUGUGCUAGCUGUCGAACAGCCAGGCUUGCUUGCUGCUCCUUACUGCUUGAGUCCUCCCAGGAUAGAACCUGUUCCUUGAAGUGUCAUAAACCAUAGUUUAUCAUCAAUAAGAGACAGAUGUUUUUGAUGAAAAGACACAGUUGGGAAUUUGUAUCCACAGAUCCACAUCUUGGAGCUUGUUGCUGGUUCUUCUUAGGAGUUGAGAAUUUUUUUUUUUCAGGCUGAUAAUAGCAUCUCCUGGAAGCUUACUAUAAACCUGCAUUGUGUUCGUAUUAACUUAUUUAGUACCUCAGCAACCCUAUGGGAGAGGCACUGGGAUUAUCCCCAUUUUACAGAUGAGGAAAAUGAGGCUCAGAGAAGGUAAGUGACAGGGCCUCAGUCACAGCUCCUGGGUGACAGAGUUGAUUCCCAAAUUCCAGCUCUCUGGGAGCUGCGCUCUCAGAUUCAUGCUCUGUGUCUCAUGUUGCUUUGAUGUCGCACCAGAGUGUAGGGGGUGUGCUUAAGUGUAACUCGGGGAAGAUUCCCUUCAUGUAUUUUUAAAUUUGUUUACUCCCGUAAUUGUACAGAUCUUGGAAGAACAGAUGAGUGUAGCAAGGACUUUGAUCUCUGUGUUGUCUGUUGGCCACUAGUGGACUCUUACUCUGCUGCCCUCGCUGUAAAGAUUUCUGGGGUCUUUUCCGUUGUCCACUUCCCAUUUGUAUCUGGGAAGUGAAGUGACAUCUUGAAUUCUCCAAAACUGGUGUUGGCAGGAAGAGUCACAAAGGAGGGGCCCAUAACAUUUCAUCAGAGUCAGCAUUCACAGGUUGUGUGAGAUCAAGGGGUUCUCCCUUUAAGAAGUCCAUGUACUAAUUCUCAACUUGAGAAGCAUUUGAUUUAGGGAAGGGCUGAUAAGUAAAACUUAUUUCCUUCCUUUAAUAAACUCCUACAUGGAACUAGAUGGGAACUUUAAAAGAGAGAGACAAGUACCCUGCUCAGUGGGGAAUCUGCUUCUCCGUCUCCUUCUGCCCCUCCUCCCCGC
This is a non-coding RNA of Leptonychotes weddellii (Weddell seal), 2514 nucleotides long. The record is from RefSeq and is a predicted model, not a curated record. NCBI's taxonomy places the organism in Eukaryota, Metazoa, Chordata, Mammalia, Carnivora, Phocidae.